CAAUUUUCUAUUUCCUUUAAUCUGAGCAGUCAGAUAGAUCUAAACUCCUGUGACUAGGGCUACCUAAUUCACAGUUCCCUCUACCUCUGGAUUAGGUUCUUCUCAUCUUCCUUGAUGUGUUCAGUAACCACUUCAGGAUACCUCCCUUCCACACCUCCCACUUCUCCCUAUCCUAUCCUUGGCUAGAACCCCGUCCAAUCUAGUUUUAUUGAGGAUAACACAAAAGGAGAACAAGAGAAUAUCCCUGAGUGGCAGAUUAUGAAACACUCCUACUUCUUCAAUUUCACGCCCUUCUGCAGAAAAAUAAAGGCAGAGGGCAGCAGUAUGAGAGACACAGAUUGAGAAAUGGACACAUAUAUUUGACUGGCUUUGAUCUCCCUGAGUCACCACUCCAGAGGACACACCAGAUGGCAACAGUGGCCACAUUCUCUUCUGCUCCUGUUGGAGGAAGCCCCCACUGAUGAAACUGGGAUGAAACUGGGAUUAAGAUCUUGGUGGAGUAAGGCGAGAUGACACCUGUUCCAGUUCUCUAUUGCACUCUCUGUUUUGCCUGACUGUUGAGGACCCUUUAGGGAAAGAACUCAAACCAUGUCCAGAGGUCUGGAACACAGACAUGGCCAAGAGAGCCAGCCUAAAACAUGCCAACAAUGACCACGUCCUGGCGUAGGUGGCACACUAAGAGGACAGAAACCUGGGUCCCAAGAUGAACAAGUGGAGCAGAGCCACCUCUUCAUCCUGGACAUCCAUCACUGGACUAAGCUCGCCUAUGCAUGCUGGUCCCCAAAUUUGGAAGGUGGAGGGAGAGCAGGGAAUGAGGAAGCUUCACUUCAGCCUUAAACCUAAGCCACAUGAUGCAACUCAGUCUUUUGGC
This is a long non-coding RNA of Equus caballus (horse), 871 nucleotides long. RefSeq lists it as uncharacterized. NCBI's taxonomy places the organism in Eukaryota, Metazoa, Chordata, Mammalia, Perissodactyla, Equidae. The record is from RefSeq and is a predicted model, not a curated record.